GAUGAAGAACGCAGCGAAAUGCGAUAAGUAAUGUGAAUUGCAGAAUUCAGUGAAUCAUCGAAUCUUUGAACGCACCUUGCACUCCUUGGUAUUCCGAGGAGUACGCCUGUUCGAGUGUUAUGAAGCUCUCAAAACGCAAUUGGCUUAAAACCUGAUUGUUGUUUUGGAUUUGAACUUUGCCGUGUUAUAACGACUGGUUUUAAAAGUAUUAGCUGGUACUAGAACGAAUUGGUUCUACUCAACGUGAUAAUUAUCUGAUCGUUGAGGACAUUCCUUUCACGAGGAAUGGCCAUAGUAAAUUCAAUGGACUGCUUCUAAUCUGGCUUUAAUUCUUUAUUGGAUUAACCACUUUUCAAAUCUGACCUCGAAUCAGGUGGGACUACCCGCUGAACUUAAGCAUAUCAAUAAGCGGAGGA
Molecule: unclassified non-coding RNA, 416 nt
Filed under: soil metagenome
Description: partial contains 5.8S ribosomal RNA, internal transcribed spacer 2, and large subunit ribosomal RNA
Rfam family: 5.8S ribosomal RNA (bases 1-120)
Source: RNAcentral